This 1616-nucleotide unclassified non-coding RNA is filed under the name Dimorphilus gyrociliatus. RNAcentral describes it as "sushi domain-containing protein". The record is from RNAcentral. Lineage: Eukaryota; Metazoa; Annelida; Polychaeta; Dinophilidae.
CAAACAGAACUGAUUGUCACGUGAUAGUAAAUAUGGUGGACGUAGAAAGAAUUGUUUUUCUGCGCAGAAAGUAGCCAUCUGCAACAUAUUUAAGUCUUUCAACCAGUGAGACAUUUGCCUUUAAAUAUCAAACCACUAUAAUCUGCCUAAAAGAAAUUCUAGCGUGUUAUUUUUUCGUGAAUAUUCAGCUAGAAUAUAACAUCGCAAAAAAUCAACAAGAAACACGAGAACAAUUAGCAACUACGCCUAUAAGGCAAGAAAAAUGACCAACCUAUAUAAGCUAUUGGUUGUAUGUGUAUUGUUCGAAAUAGUAUCAACUCAAUGUAAUAAAGUCGGGGUAUAUAAUUUCAACGAUGGUACAACUCUAUAUUUGAAGUCUAAUAAAUGGGAAACGAGAUGUGCAGAAGGAUAUACAGAGGAUUUAACAGCUACAACUAUAAAUUGGUGUGGCAAGAGCCAUCAAGUUCGCCUUUGCCAUGCAUGGAGACGAACAUUUGAAUGCGAAACUCUUCCCGAAGUUGAAAAUGGAAACUGGGAAUUCAGUUGUACUCAAGAAAAUGGUGAACUUAAAUGCUUACGUCAGCCAAAUAGUAUUGGCAGUCAAGUUACCUAUGAAUGUGAUCCAGGUUAUGAAUUAAAUGGUAAUAUUAAUCUUAAAUGCACAUCUUCGGGUUGGAGUAGUGUGCCUCCUACAUGUCAGAAACGAGUCUCCACACCGUCGGCAGGAAUACCGGAAACUUUCACUGGACAAUCAUUAACUAUAAUCGUAUCCGUGGCUUUUGGAUUACUAACUGUUUUAGUGGCAAUCAUAUUAGGCGUUUUCUUCAAAUAUCACAAGCAGUGCGGACCUACUGAGGGUACGAUUCCAUCUGAACCACCUACACCUUCCAAUCCUUAUUCAAAUGGACUACCUUACGAAACUGAUUUGGAUAGAUUGGCGUUGAUGGCUUUUGCCGAUAUCCCUUCAGUCCACGGCAGACAGCCCCCUACUUAUGAAGAAGCGGUUUCUAAUCGCUUGUCCAACAAUCGUAAUCGCCAAAUUACAAACAUUCGCAGAGAUCGACCAAACUUAUUGAGAGAUAAUACAUCUAUAGCUAGCGGUGAAACUGUUAAUGUGAGUGAUGCAACAUCAACAACAGUGACUGUAGACACUGUUGAAACGCGGUCAUCGAAUCCAUCUCUCUCUCAAAGGGUUGCUGUUGGCUCGCUGUGCUCAAUAUCUCCCGAACCGAGUAUCGCCCCAAGUAUAGGAGAUGCCCUUGUCGAGGAAGGACUUCAAGUAAGAUCCAACUCGCCAUGUAGUCUAAUAAGCAAAGACAGUCGUGAGCAUCCUAAAUUCAACGUAUAGAAAAUUCUUAAGACUAAAAAACUAUUUCAUUAUUCUGUUUAAAUCCUCCAACAUAUAUGAGUUGGAAUUGAUUUACCUGCAGAACAAAAAGAUAUAAAAGUUUUCUUUUUUGUAAGGGCACUGUUUAGUAGAUUAUUAUAGUGAAUGAAGAAAGAAUUGUAAUUUCUGAAAGAGAGUUACACCUUUAUUAAGUAUGUAUUGUGAAGUUUUUUUAUGUUUAUUUGUUAAAGAGUUCAGAAAUCAAUGUAGUUUUGUUUCUUGUCCUAAA